RNAcentral lists this small nuclear RNA (108 nucleotides) under Prolemur simus (greater bamboo lemur). Lineage: Eukaryota; Metazoa; Chordata; Mammalia; Primates; Lemuridae. The record is from RNAcentral.
GUGCUCGCUUCAGCAGCACAUAUACUAAAAUUGGAACAAUACAGAGAAGAUUAACAUGGCCCCUGUGCAAGGAUGACACACACACACACACAAAAAGAACUGCACUGA